GUCUACGGCCAUACCACCCUGAACGUGCCCGAUCUCGUCUGAUCUCGGAAGCUAAGCAGGGUCGGGCCUGGUUAGUACUUGGAUGGGAGAAAAUAUGUGUUGACAAGGAUGUGGAGAAA
Molecule: ribosomal RNA, 119 nt
Organism: Panthera pardus (leopard)
Lineage: Eukaryota; Metazoa; Chordata; Mammalia; Carnivora; Felidae
Source: Ensembl